GUAAUAUUAUGUGCUAUGGUUUGGAUAUGAUUUGAGUGUAUCCCCUAAAAGUUCAUGUGCCAGAAGCUUGGGCCCCUAUGUGGAGGUGUUGAAACCUUUAAGAGGUGGGAUCUAGUGGAAGAUAAUUAGGUCACAGGGACAUUGCCCUGAGAAGGGUUUAGUGCUGGUCUUGUGGACUGAGUGAGUUCUACCAAGAAGGAGUUGUUAUAGAGAAUAACCCUGGACCCUCAAUCCCUUUGGUUUCAGGUCUCACCAUGUGGUCUCUUUCCCACCCUGCUAAGACCCUCACCAGGAGUCAAACAGAUGGGGCUGCCUUAUUUGGGACUUUCAGUCUUAAGACUAUGAGCUAAAUAACCUCUUUUCUUUAAAAUGCAUCCAGCCUCAAGUAUUUUAUUAAAACAAUAGAAAACUUCUGUUAUUCUAUAUGUUGCUUUUGAAUCUAGAUUAUAAAAAAUAUUGUGGCUUCUGACUCUCUGCCCCUUGGAUCACUCACUCUGGGAGAGGCCAGCUGUCACAUUUGAGGAUGGUCACAUGUAGAGAGGCCCAUCUGGAGAGGAACUGAGGCGUCUUGCCAAUCCAUGUGAAUGGGCUUGAAAUGGAUUCUCUGCCCUGGAGAAAACUUGGAUGACUAUAGUCUUGGCCGACAGCUUGACUAAAACUUUGCGAGAGACCCUGAGUCAGAAUCACCCAGAUAUGUCACUCUUGGAUUCCUGUCUGUCAGAAACUGUGUGAGUUGAUACAUGUUUUUUUUUUGUUUGUUGUUGUUGUUGUUUUAAGCAGUUGCAUUUAGUGUGUGGGGGGGUGGGUACUGGGGAUUGAACUCAGGGGAACUCGAACACUGAGCCACAUCCUCGCCCUAUUUUGUAUUUUAUUUAGAGACUCGGUCUCACUGAGUUACUUAGCUCCUUGCUUUUGUUAAGGCUGGCUUCGAACUCGUCCUCCUGUCUCAGUCUCCUGAGCUGCUGGAUAACAGGCAUGUGCUACGGUACCCAGCUCAGUAGUUGCAUUUUAAAGUAAUUUAUUGUGUAGCAGUAGAUAAGGAUCUACUGCUCCUUGUGGUGUGGGGCUUAGUUGGAAACACUCAGAUGGCUGAGGGCUGAAAUCACCUGAAGGUUACUUCACACACAUGAAUGAUGCCUGAGCUGGGACUGUCACCUGGUGGGAAUACAUAACUGGGAUUUUUUUUUUUUAGUCAUGGCAGUUGGGUUCCAAGAGGGAGCUUCCAUAAAAUGACCUUCCAAAAGACUGAGCUUCAAAGGAGUAGCAAGUUUCUUUUGAACUAGGCUUGGAAGUAAAACAGAGUAACUUCUGCAGCAUGCUUUUGGUCAGGAGUGAGUCACUUAGGCCAGCCCAUACCCAAGGGAGGAGAAUGUGACUUGUUCUCUUGAUGCAGGAAUGAGAAGGUCAAGUUGCAGAAGAAUAAAUGGAAUGGAAAAGAUUUCAGAGCCAUCUUUGCACAAUACAGCCAUACCUGCCCGGCCCUGGGAAGAAAACCCAAUGCAUUGUUCUCUGCAUUGCCUCUCAGGAACAGAGGGACAGAUGGCUUCUUUUCAUAAGCCCUGCACACUUCUAGAACUGGGAGUAAGGCUCAUUCUGCUGAAAUGGCUCUUCCUGUCAAGUCCUGAGGAGAGCCAGCAGUGCUUUGGGCUUGGAAAAUGGGUACUUGUUGCCUUUUGUUCUCAGUUAUUGACUCUGCUACAAAUUCUACCUUUCUAGAAAAACAGGGAAGAUCCCAUUCGGCAUCUCACCCCACCAAGCCACCUCACUCUUUCUCUACCAGUCACUGUACUUAGCCCUUCACCUCCAGGAGUCCUGCACCUACCUUCUUAGCUAGGAAUUAUAAGUCCAUUUCACAGAGGGGAUCUAGAGGACCAAGGUCCAUAGCUGCCAGGUGGUGGAGGAGGGAAUCGAUGCUAGUUCUGACCUCUUUUUCAACCUUCUAGGUUUUCUGGGAUUUCAGAAAGCCUGAAAGUAUAGGAGCUUCAGCCCUGGUUUCCUCAGGUCAUUCCAAGGGUGAGGCCAGAGUGAGCAGUGUGAGAGGGGAGGAGGGAGCUACUUACCGGAGGUAGGACCUUAAACCCUGUCUGGCAGUCAUUGAGAAUACAAAUAUCAAUAAAUGCUAGAGAGAGGAUGUGAAGAAUAAGAAACACUAUUACACUGUUGGUGGGAUCAUAAAUUAGUACAACACUAUAGAAAUCGGUACAGAGACUCCUCAAAAAACUAGGCAUGGAACCACCAUAUGACCCAGCUAUGCCAUUCCUUUAGAUAUUUAUCCUAAAGAAUUAAAGUUAUCAUACCAUAGGAUACAUGCACAUCCAUGAUUAUAGCAGCAUAAUUCACAAUAGCCAAAUUAUGGAACCAACCUAGGAGUCCACCAGUGGAGGAAUGGAUAAAGAAAAUGUGGUAUAAUUGCUGAUGGGACUGCAAAGGGGUGCAACCACUCUGGAAAACAGUAUGAAGAUACCUCAGAAAACUUGCAAUGGAUCCACCAUUUGACCCAGCUAUCCCACUCCUUGGUUUAUACCCAAAGGACUUAAAAUCAGCAUGCACAGUGACGCAGCCACAUGGAUGUUUAUAGCAGUUCAAUUCACAAUAGCUAAACUAUGAAACCAACCUAGAUACCCUUCAACAGAUGAAGGGAUAAAGAAAAUGUGGUACAUAUACACAGUGGAAUAUUACUCAGCCUUAAAUAAAAUAAAAUUAUGGCAUUUGCAGGUAAAUGGAUGGAACUAGAGAAUAUUAUGCUAAGUGAAAUAAGCCAAUCCCCAAAACCCAAAAGCUGAAUGUUUUCUCUGAUAAGCAAUGCUGAUCCAUAGUGGGGUAGAGGGAUAGGGGAAGAAUGAAGGAACUUUGGUUUGCGUAGAUGGGAAUGAGGGGAGGGGUGGGGUUGGGGUUGUGGGGAUGGGAAGGACAAUAUAAUGUGACAGACAUUAUUAUCUCUCAUAUAUAUAUAUAUUAUAAAUAUAUAAUUACACUCCUGGAGUGACUGCACCCAUGUACAGCCAAAGGAAUGAGAAGCUGUACUCCAUUUGUGUGCUAUAUGUCAAAAUGCAUUCUACUGUAAAAUAAAUAAGUUACUUAAUUAAAAAAGAAAAUGUGGUAUAUAUACACAAUGGAGUUUUAUUCAGCCAUAAAGAAAAAUGAAACUCUGUCAUUUGUAGGAAAAUGGAUGAAACUAGAGAUCAUUAUGUUAAGCAAAAUAAGUUAAACUCAGAAGGUCAAGAGACAUAUGUUUUCUCUCAUAUGCAGAAGCCAGAGAGGCAAGGGGAAAAGAAAGGUGAGGAGGGAUCAGUAAAGGAAAGGGAUCAAGGGGAGGGAGAGGGGAAGUGCUGGGGAGUGAUAUUGGCCAAAUUAUGUUGGCCAGUUUAGAUUGUUAUACUGUGUGCAUGUAUGAAUAUAUAGCAACAGAUUCCACCAUUACGUACAACUAUAAUGCACCAAUUAAAAAUGUGAAAAAAUUUUUAAAAAACUGAAACAAACAAAAACUCUGCAUGAGAGUUGGGGCUAGUUUCAGAUGCACGCUUUGGGUGAAAGGGGAGGAGAAACAAGAGGGGGAGAAUAGAUUUUUAUUUUAUUUUCAGACUUGUCUUCAGUCAGUGAGCUUUCCAGUGGCCAGAAGGCUAAUCCCAAGAUGAAGGCCCUGGACUCACCACCUGCUCUGUUUGUUGUCCUAGAACUUCUGGAGAUCCCCCUGAGCUCGUGGGGCCUGUUGCUGCUCAACUCCUGCUGGUGCUCAGCCUGCCCCUGACUACCUGCUGACCACUCUUUCCUAGCAUGCUGCUUUCCCAAGUCCCAGGACAGAAUGAGCAUUCCUAGCACCUACAUUCUGCCCGGUACUGAUCUCAUGUUGGGGACCCAGAAUAAAAGCAAAACAACUUCUGUCCUUGAGUUGAUCUCAGUCUGAUAGGAGGAGAAACAUGAGGAGUUAACUUACAGGUAUCAUGUUAUAAGGUACAUUUAAUAAGGGUUAAGAUUACACAAAUGUGGGAGUGCAAAAUUCAACAAUAAAAAGGAAUGAACCAUUGAAACUUCCAUCACAUGGAUGAAUCUCAAGUUGUCCUACAGAACAUGAAAGAAGGAAGACACAGUGGAUGACUCCAGUUUCAUUGCAUUCUAGACCAGGUAAAACUAUGGGAUAUAUUGGAUAGAAACAAAGUAAGUAGUUUCUUGGAAUAAAAGGGGAUUGACUGGGAAGGGGCAUUAAGUUUGUCUGAGCCUCAAUACAAGUAUGGGUUAUGUCAGAAUAUUCAGUUAAAACUGAUCAAACUGUAUACCUAAGAUGAAUUUCAUCAUAUGUAAAUUAUAUGUGUCAGGCAGCUUUCAAAAUACCCCACAAUGGCCCCCACCUUCUGGUCUGUAUGCUCUUGUGUAAAAC
RNAcentral lists this long non-coding RNA (4375 nucleotides) under Marmota monax (woodchuck). The record is from RNAcentral. Lineage: Eukaryota; Metazoa; Chordata; Mammalia; Rodentia; Sciuridae.